This 89-nucleotide small RNA is filed under the name Salmonella enterica subsp. enterica serovar Enteritidis. Its description in RNAcentral is "partial RtT sRNA". It matches the Rfam family "RtT RNA", at positions 1 to 98 of the family's 130-position model. From Rfam's summary of the family: This family represents a bacterial cis-regulatory element known as RtT RNA. The exact function of RtT is unknown although it is thought that it may be involved in changing the cellular response in relation to amino acid starvation. Lineage: Bacteria; Pseudomonadati; Pseudomonadota; Gammaproteobacteria; Enterobacterales; Enterobacteriaceae. The record is from RNAcentral.
AUAUCUCUCUGUACGGGAAGGAUGAGAAGGUUCGAUUCGAGCGUCAGCGAGAAAGCGUUGCCGCAGGCAACGACCCGAAGGGCGAAGCG